This 425-nucleotide ribosomal RNA is filed under the name uncultured bacterium. RNAcentral describes it as "partial 16S ribosomal RNA". It matches the Rfam family "Bacterial small subunit ribosomal RNA", at positions 354 to 796 of the family's 1533-position model. The record is from RNAcentral.
GUGGGGAAUAUUGGACAAUGGGGGCAACCCUGAUCCAGCCAUGCCGCGUGAAUGAUGAAGGCCUUCGGGUUGUAAAGUUCUUUUGGAGGGGACGAUGAUGACGGUACCCUCAGAAUAAGCUCCGGCUAACUUCGUGCCAGCAGCCGCGGUAAUACGAAGGGAGCUAGCGUUGUUCGGAAUUACUGGGCGUAAAGGGCGCGUAGGCGGUUUGGUUAGUCAGAUGUGAAAGCCCAGGGCUUAACCCUGGAACUGCGUUUGAUACUGCCAAGCUUGAAUUCGGGAGAGGUGAGUGGAAUUCCCAGUGUAGAGGUGAAAAUCGUAGAUAUUGGGAAGAACACCGGUGGCGAAGGCGGCUCACUGGACCGACAUUGACGCUGAGGCGCGAAAGCGUGGGGAGCAAACAGGAUUAGAAACCCCAGUAGUCC